Chrysemys picta bellii (western painted turtle) is the source of this 3112-nucleotide long non-coding RNA. RefSeq lists it as uncharacterized. The record is from RefSeq and is a predicted model, not a curated record. NCBI's taxonomy places the organism in Eukaryota, Metazoa, Chordata, Testudines, Emydidae.
CCUGAGAAUGGGGUACGUGCGUCACGCGAGGCGUGCGUCCUCCCGCCCUGUAUCACGGGAGGGGGCUACCGCCUCGCGCUCUCAGGCUGAGGGGAGGCGUAAGUGUCCUUUGAAGCCCCAUCCCCAGGGCCUUAAGGGCUAGGCCCUCAGCUCCUGGAGUCCCCUGGUGAGGGCAGAGGUGCUGUUUCCCAGCCCCCAAUUAUAGCUGGCAACAAGGCCUGAGUCUGCAGCGAGCCUGGUGCGGUAGCUGAGAGAGAGACUGUCCAGUUUGGCCAAUGUAUAUGGCAGAAGGACAACUAUGAUGAGUUUUCCUGGGGUGCAACCUGGAACUGGGGUACCACUGAGCCCUCUGGCUUACCAACCUGGGCUCCAUCUCACUCUGUGAUGAUGUGACAAGCUGAAAACCUCUCCAGGUGGGGUUGUGGCGCUCUGCUGAUUUAAUCUUUCAGGUUUCCUUUCUCCAUCAUCUCCUGCUGCAAUGAUUUCGAUGUCCCUUGCAAAAAGGCCACCUUUGUCUGAGAGCCCUUCCCCCUCCCCCUGUUGAGGAGCUAUUUUGGGAAACAGCAGCUGAGCUGGAGGAUUGUUAAUUGUUUGUCAAACCCUUCCAAACCCGUUAGAUCCCAUGCAGAGAUUAGAGUGCAUAGUCACAUCCUUUCCUCUGCCUCCUUUUUCAUCCCCCUGUGAUCUGGGAGGAAAUGGGGAAUGCCUCUUUUCCAGGCAGGGAGAGAGAGAGACGGAACAUCACACAUUGACACACAGUCACAAACAACAGACAUACUCUAUAGUCAACCACAGCUGCGAGGACAACACUGAGACAUUCACAACAGAGGUGCACGCUAUUUAACCAGUCCAAGUUCAAAGAAAGACCCUGACACACAUCCAGAAACACAGCACAUGCUAAACCAAUCGUGGCACAGGCUAUGAAGCACCGAAACACUCUAAAACCAAUCACAGCCCAGAGAGAAACACCCACACACAUACAUAUUCCCAUUAAUCAAAGCAGAGAGAGACUUCUCACACACAUACAACCACAACCCCAGAGACAGGCAGACAGACAACAAAGCCACACAGGGCUCUGACCUCAAAAGCCACCAUGUGCUUCUGUCUGAAACUUACUGCAUUACAUCAGCCUGGGAAUGAAAGAAAAGCACUGGGACCAAAAUAUUGGCCUUCUUAAAAGGGCAAUCGCAUCCAUAGUUUUAAGGAGGACUGGACUGUUUCCUUGAGUGCUAUUCCCUUCUGCCUUCUUGCCUGGCUUGCAGAUGUCAUAGAGUUGUGGGAAGGGCAUGUUUAUAGUAAACCCCUUUUAUUUUGUGAAGUCUUAAAGUGCAGGACCCAUUUACGAUCAUGACAUAUGCUGAGGUAGAAUUGGGAGAGCCUUUGUGUAGGCUCGAAACAGGGUUUGGCCAAGCACGGGGCAGCUGAGAUUUAAUUCUAUGGAGAUAGGUGACACUGGAAAUAUAAAGGUAUUAGUUAAUGCCUGUUAAAUUUAAGGCUAUAUGAUAGUUGACACUUACAUAGCACUUUCCAUGCAAGGAUCUCACAGCACUUUAUGAGCAGUGAUGAAUUUUGCCUCUCGCUUCUAUGUGACUGGUGAUGUUAUGGCCAUUUUAGAAAUGGAAAUGCAGGCACAGAAGUUAAGACCAACAUUUUCAAAAGUGGCCGCUGACUUAGGAUACCUUAAUUUUUGAGUGUCCAACUUGACACACAAAAUCAGUGCCCACUUUUGAAAAUAUAGUUGUUAGCCCAAGGUCAUGAAACAAAUCUGUGGUAAAACCGAGAAUCUCUGUAUCCCCUGCUCUGAAGCAAUAGAUGGUGCUUUCUCUCCAAAUACCUGUCAGCUUUUCCCAGGAGGGCAGGAUCACUGCUUACUAGCUUCCUCCACUUUUCUGUUGCCCUGCACAUGGCUUGUUGGGCCAUCAGAGGCAAGUUGCUCCUUGUGCUCCUUCCCUUUUUCUCCUUUCCUCUCUUCUCUCCAGUGAGGAAGCCGAUAACAUCUGGUGUCAAAUGAAAUGAGUCAGUAAAGUCAGUGGUAUAAAUAAAUCUCUGGUGUAACUUCUCUGAAGCCAGUCAAAUUAAACCAGGGAUGAAAAUGGCCCUAUACACUAACUGAAAUCAUGUGCUUACCUUGUAUGUGUCCAGGCAAAUCAGCAGCUGCCUUCCAUAGGUGUCAAUGACUAACAAAGCUGCAAGGCAGAGGAGACUUGGGCCCAGAAACUUAAUGUAUAGUGGAAACAUGAAUAGAGAGAGUCCCAAGCUGCAAAGUUCAGGUACACUGAUGAUCAAGAGGGAGCUUAUGCCAAGCCCCUUAUUAAUAGAGUUGAACUUUGGUCCUGGUAAAGGAUCUCAUUUUACUAUUUGUUUCGUAAAAGGAAGGCUUGAGCUCUUUUUCUUGGGAAGUAAAAUGUGUACCCACACAAACUGAUUGCUAAGGCUGAAAGGAACGUGCAGCUGGGCUCCACUUCUGUAGCAAGAUUUCUCCCCAUGUGCACACACCACAUACAGUUUUUAUAGGAGAUGAGUCAGUUCAGUUUGGCAGGUAUCCCACACAAUCAUCUCACUAACCUUCUCCAAAAUCUUGCUUUGUACUUAGCCAUGUGAUAGUUGUAGACAUUUAAAUUUACAUGUGACCAAAAAUUGAUUGAUGGAGUUGCAUGAAGGGGAGGGCUCUUUAUGCAGGGAUUACCACUUUCAUUGCUCACUGAGACAGGAAGUAUCUGUAGGAGCUGCUUCUUAAAAUGUUGGCAGCUUAUCACUGUUGGAUAUGGCUCCAGCUUCAAGGGUUGGGGAAGUUUUAUAUCGAAGCCUUGGCCCUUCUCUAAUCUUGACUCAUCUUAGGGUAUGUCUGCACUGCAAUUAGACACCCAUGGCUGGCCCAUGUCAGCUGGCUCGGGCUAAGGGGCUGUUUAAUUGUUUUGUAGACUUCAGGUUUGCACUGGAGCCUGGGCUGUGAGACCCUGCAGCCCAGCCCCAAAUGUCUGCAAUUAAAAAGCCUCUUAGCCCGAGCCCCGCAAGCCCAGUCACCUGGCCUGGGCCAGCUAUGGCAGGUGUCUAAUUGCAGUGUAGACAUACCCUUAAGGUCUUUUGAGGAAUCACUUGGUGACAAAUGAAA